CGGUUACAUUCCGAACCCGGUAGCUAAGCCCUCCAGCGCCGAUGGUACUGCACUCGGGAGGGUGUGGGAGAGUAGGACGCCGCCGGAC
Molecule: ribosomal RNA, 88 nt
Filed under: Actinoplanes missouriensis
Lineage: Bacteria; Bacillati; Actinomycetota; Actinomycetes; Micromonosporales; Micromonosporaceae
Also listed under: 6 other names
Source: RNAcentral